CGCUCCUUGAACCUGUGUGUC
Molecule: non-coding RNA, 21 nt
Filed under: Mus musculus (house mouse)
Lineage: Eukaryota; Metazoa; Chordata; Mammalia; Rodentia; Muridae
Source: RNAcentral